GACGAACGCUGGCGGCAUGCCUAACACAUGCAAGUCGAACGGAGAUUAUUUCGGUAAUCUUAGUGGCGAACGGGUGAGUAACGCGUGGGCAACCUGCCCUCUAGAUGGGGACAACAUCCCGAAGGGGGUGCUAAUACCGAAUGUGACAGCAAUCUCGCAUGAGGAUGCUGUGAAAGAUGGCCUCUAUUUAUAAGCUAUCGCUAGAGGAUGGGCCUGCGUCUGAUUAGCUAGUUGGUGGGGUAACGGCCUACCAAGGCGAUGAUCAGUAGCCGGUCUGAGAGGAUGAACGGCCACAUUGGGACUGAGACACGGCCCAGACUCCUACGGGAGGCAGCAGUGGGGAAUCUUCCGCAAUGGGCGAAAGCCUGACGGAGCAAUGCCGCGUGAGUGAUGAAGGAAUUCGUUCCGUAAAGCUCUUUUGUUUAUGACGAAUGUGCAGAUUGUGAACAAUGAUCUGUAAUGACGGUAGUAAACGAAUAAGCCACGGCUAACUACGUG
Molecule: ribosomal RNA, 498 nt
Filed under: uncultured bacterium
Lineage: Bacteria
Description: partial 16S ribosomal RNA
Rfam family: Bacterial small subunit ribosomal RNA
Source: RNAcentral